RNAcentral lists this ribosomal RNA (1453 nucleotides) under Polymerurus rhomboides. RNAcentral's name for it is "eukaryotic LSU rRNA". It matches the Rfam family "Eukaryotic large subunit ribosomal RNA", at positions 39 to 1248 of the family's 3401-position model. Lineage: Eukaryota; Metazoa; Gastrotricha; Chaetonotida; Chaetonotidae. The record is from RNAcentral.
CAUAUCACUAAGCGGAGAAAAAGAAAAUAACAAUGAUUCCUAGAGUAACGGCGAGUGAAAUAGGAAAAGCCCAUAGCCGAAUUCUGCUGUCCUCGACGGCAGCUAGAAGUUGUGGCGUUGGGAACUGCCUCUUGUAACCGAUCGGCCGGGCUACGCGACUCCUCUUGAUUGUGGUUUGCCCAUAGCAGGUGAAAGGCCUAUUGGCCGUAGCCUCGUGCUGAAGGCCGGCGGUGAUGGCAGUCCUUAGAGUCGGUUUGUUUGGGAUUGCAGACCGAAGUAGGUGGUAAACUCCACCUAAGGCUAAAUACGAUCGCGAGUCCGAUAGCGCACAAGUACCGUGAGGGACAGUUGAAAAGAACUUUGAAGAGAGAGUUCAAAGUACGUGAAACCGUUCAGAGGUAAACGGGUAGAAAGUCGAAUUGAAGGUUGACAAUCAAGCCGUUGGCUAAGUCGGAGUUGGGCUGGUAGUACGUUAAAGGCUGCCAGUUUGCUCGUAUGGCUGGCUACGGUUGUAUUUGUUGACUUUAGAUCGCCGCAACGGCAGUGACUGACCGGCUGGCGUCUAUUCCUCUGGUCGAUGUGGAUCCGUAUGGGUCUUCUAUUCAACGUCGGCACAUGGGUAGGCGUCCCGCGUACAUGGCACAGUCGAUAAUUAAAGUAGUUUAAGCGUUCCAACUGGCUAUUCGUUCGUUUUGUAUUGGUAGGCUGAUCUUAAACAAGUUCACCUGCCGAUAUCAGGGCGGCGGUGGUUGGUUUAAAGACGGAACAAAGGCUACAUUGGCGGCGUUAGACCACGAAUUAUCUACCUGACCCGUCUUGAAACACGGACCAAGGAGUCUAACAUGUGCGCGAGCCAUUGGGAUUUUUAUGAUCAAAACCCAAAGGCAAAGUGAAAGCGAAAUCUGGUGAGAUCUGUCGUUUAUUUGUUAUGCAAAUAACGGCGGCGCAUCAUCGUCACGCCUCAACUCGGCUUCGGCUGAAGAGGCGCAGACUGAGCGCACAAGUUGGGACCCGAAAGAUGGUGAACUAUGCGAGGCGAGGUCGAAGCCAGAGGAAACUCUGGUGGAGGACUGUAGCGGUUCUAACGUGCAAAUYGAUCGUCGCAGCUUCGUAUAGGGGCGAAAGACUAAUCGAACCAUCUAGUAGCUGGUUCCCKCCGAAGUUUCCCUCAGGAUAGCUGGCACUUUCGGAGAGCAGUUUUGUCCGGUAAAGCGAAUGAUUAGAGGCCUUGGGGACAUAACGACCUCAACCUAUUCUCAAACUUUGAAUGGGCAAGAAGAGGGACUCACUUAAUUGGAGUCUUCUCAUUACACGAAUGCUUGAGUGCCAAGUGGGCCAUUUUUGGUAAGCAGAACUGGCGCUGUGGGAUGAACCAAACGUUUAGCUAAGGUGCCAAAUGCUAACGCUCAUCCGAACCCAUUAAAGGUGUUGGUUGAUAGAGACAGCAGGACGG